UACAGUUGCUGCCAUGGAAACCAACGCAGUCAAUGUAGCUUCAUCCCUGACGCGUGUGGCACCACUUAGAGCUAUCCAUUUGGCGACGGAUAGUGAGAGGCAGCAGAGAGAAGGAUGCGGAAAACGUUGAGUAAUAAGAUCGCUUUCUCGCCACUAAAUAUAGCUCUUACAAGAAUUGAGAAGGCUUUGCGGGUUCUAGGGGACGUCGCCUUGACUGAUUAGGGCAAGGUACGAUGUUCACCCACUUCACAUAUCCCCGUUUUUGGAGGAUAGGAUGAAACUCUGCCAGUAGAUAAUACAGACAUCUGCCAUGAGGACUACAUUCCCUUUAUUUGGACUUCUUAGUUUCCAGCCUUAAAUUCCUGAGUAGCUCCACGACGAGGAGUGUGUGUGGUUUAUAACGAGUAGUGCUAAGAAUAUUCCAAAGAGGCAACACACCGGCAUAUUAUUACAAGAAGUUACAACAAAGAGGAAGCCAUCUUUUGACGUCACCGUGCUUCAAGGUCAGGAGAGAAAGAGAACGCAGCUCAACUUACAGAAAACAUUUCAAGACGUGAUGUUCCAGUUUAAUUUAGUGUAGUGAUACUUGGAUAAACUUUAGUUUUCUCCAACCGGAACGACAGUAGAUUGCGGAUGGAACAACAGGAAGUUUGUGAUACGUCUA
RNAcentral lists this long non-coding RNA (664 nucleotides) under Limulus polyphemus (Atlantic horseshoe crab). RNAcentral's name for it is "uncharacterized LOC111085976, transcript variant X1". The record is from RNAcentral. Lineage: Eukaryota; Metazoa; Arthropoda; Merostomata; Xiphosura; Limulidae.